CCCCCGGACCGCCGCCGGCACGCUGCGGCCGCUAGGGGGCGCCGGGACUCGGGGAGGCCGCCACGGCGCCGCUCGGCGGAGGAGAUGCUGAGCGGGCCGGGGGCGGGAGGGCUGUGUCGGCUGUGCCGGCUGUGUCGGCUGUGCCUGCUGUGCCUGCUGUGCCUGCUGUGCCUGAAGGGAAGCUGUCUCGGCCCUUUGUAUAUAGGAGUGCUGUGCUACACAGUUCUGGGGGACCCAUUGCUACCAUUGUGCACACGCAUGUGUUGACACAGAAUGGAGUGUUUGGUGGAGGGAUGUCCUUCGUCUCUUCUCUCUUCAGAGCAGUUCUGAAUGCCAGCAACACAUUCUCCUCUGGUAUCCUUCGAAUACCUGGGAAUAUCCUUAAAUCCAGUAGGACAAAUAAAAAGAAAGCAACAACAACAACAACAACAAAAAAGGAAAAGAGUGGGAACAGAAAGCUGAAGCCUUUUUUUUUGUAAUGCAAUGUUGUGAUUUCCCUCCUCGCUGCCAACAAAAGCAACAGUUUGAAUUUUGUCUGAUAUUUCAACUUCCAUUUCAAAGCAGUUUACGGAUUAGCAGAGGAACCACCAUAACAUGAAUAGUAACAAAGAGUAAGAAAAACAACAGAAGGAGAAGAUGCAAAAUCUCUGUAAGAAAACAUUGUGCAUCUCACUGGCAAACAGCUCAGCCCCUGGAGUACAACAGUCUGUUCGUUACCUUUGUAGCCUCCACACCCAAGAAUCACAGCAGUUCAAGUGAAACAAGAUCUGAACUGGGCAGAUCAUUUGCAACACACCUUUUCUAGCAACACUUGGAAGCAGAACUUUCUGUGAGCUCUGAACUUACACUGCAAAAGGGAAGAAUAAAGAAACAAAGCAUUUUUUCA
This 886-nucleotide long non-coding RNA is filed under the name Numida meleagris (helmeted guineafowl). Its description in RNAcentral is "lncRNA (ENSNMEG00000018328.1)". Lineage: Eukaryota; Metazoa; Chordata; Aves; Galliformes; Numididae. The record is from RNAcentral.